RNAcentral lists this ribosomal RNA (461 nucleotides) under uncultured bacterium. RNAcentral describes it as "bacterial SSU rRNA". It matches the Rfam family "Bacterial small subunit ribosomal RNA", at positions 917 to 1382 of the family's 1533-position model. The record is from RNAcentral.
GGACCCGCACAAGCGGUGGAUGAUGUUCUUUAAUUCGAUGCAACGCGAAAAACCUUACCCACCUUUGACAUGGUAGGAACUUUCCAGAGAUGGAUUGGUGCUCGAAAGAGAACCUACACACAGGUGCUGCAUGGCUGUCGUCAGCUCGUGUCGUGAGAUGUUGGGUUAAGUCCCGCAACGAGCGCAACCCUUAUCAUUAGUUGCUACGCAAGGGCACUCUAAUGAGACUGCCGGUGAUAAACCGGAGGAAGGUGGGGAUGACGUCAAGUCCUCAUGGCCCUUAUAGGUGGGGCUAGAAACGUCAUACAAUGGCUGGUACAAAGGGUUGCCAACCCGCGAGGGGGAGCUAAUCUCAUAAACCCAGUCGUAGUCCGGAUCGCAGUCUGCAACUCGACUGCGUGAAGUCGGAAUCGCUAGUAAUCGUGGAUCAGCAUGUCACGGUGAAUACGUUCCCGGGUCUU